RNAcentral lists this ribosomal RNA (497 nucleotides) under uncultured bacterium. Its description in RNAcentral is "partial 16S ribosomal RNA". It matches the Rfam family "Bacterial small subunit ribosomal RNA", at positions 28 to 507 of the family's 1533-position model. The record is from RNAcentral.
GAUGAACGCUGGCGGCGUGCCUAAUACAUGCAAGUCGAGCGAACAGACGAGGAGCUUGCUCCUCUGACGUUAGCGGCGGACGGGUGAGAAACACGUGGAUAACCUACCUAUAAGACUGGGAUAACUUCGGGAAACCGGAGAUAAUACCGGAUAAUAUAUUGAACCGCAUGGUUCAAUAGUGAAAGACGGUUUUGCUGUCACGUAUAGAUGGAUCCCCGCGGCAUUAGCUGGUUGGUAAGGUAACGGCUUACCAAGGGGAGGAUGCGUGGCCGACCUGUGAGGCUGGUCGCCCACACUGGAGCUGAGACGCGGUCCAGGCUCCUACGGGAGGCAGCAGUAGGGUAUCUUCCGCAAUGGGCGAAAGCCUUACGGAGCAGCGCCGCGCGAGUGAUGAAGGUCUCCGGAUCGUAAAGCUCUGUUAUUGGGGAAGAACAAAUGUGUAAGUAACUAUGCACUUCUUGACGGUACCGAAUCAGAAAGCCCCGGCUAACUACGUG